RNAcentral lists this ribosomal RNA (476 nucleotides) under uncultured organism. RNAcentral describes it as "partial 16S ribosomal RNA". It matches the Rfam family "Bacterial small subunit ribosomal RNA", at positions 330 to 797 of the family's 1533-position model. The record is from RNAcentral.
CGUACACUCCUACGGGAGGCAGCAGUGGGGAAUAUUGCACAAUGGGCGCAAGCCUGAUGCAGCCAUGCCGCGUGUAUGAAGAAGGCCUUCGGGUUGUAAAGUACUUUCAGCGGGGAGGAAGGCGAUAAGGUUAAUAACCUUGUUGAUUGACGUUACCCGCAGAAGAAGCACCGGCUAACUCCGUGCCAGCAGCCGCGGUAAUACGGAGGGUGCAAGCGUUAAUCGGAAUUACUGGGCGUAAAGCGCACGCAGGCGGUCUGUCAAGUCGGAUGUGAAAUCCCCGGGCUCAACCUGGGAACUGCAUUCGAAACUGGCAGGCUAGAGUCUUGUAGAGGGGGGUAGAAUUCCAGGUGUAGCGGUGAAAUGCGUAGAGAUCUGGAGGAAUACCGGUGGCGAAGGCGGCCCCCUGGACAAAGACUGACGCUCAGGUGCGAAAGCGUGGGGAGCAAACAGGAUUAGAUACCCGAGUAGUCCCA